Molecule: long non-coding RNA, 2094 nt
Filed under: Homo sapiens (human)
Lineage: Eukaryota; Metazoa; Chordata; Mammalia; Primates; Hominidae
Description: HSALNT0239264
Source: RNAcentral
UUUUCAUGAAGUUGGGGUUUUACCAUUUUGGCUGGCUGGUCUUGAACUCCUGACCUCAGGUGAUCCACCCACCUUGGCCUCCUGAAGUGCUGGGAUUACAGACCUGAGCCACAGCACCCGGCCUUGGUGGUGGUCUUAUUGAAGGGGAAACGCUUUUUGAAAUCAAUAGGAUGAAGGUUUUUUAAAAACAAUGAAGUCUUAAAUCAUUAGAUUUUAAAGUGGGGUCUGGAGGUGGAAGACAGCUUAUUUCUGCUGUGUAACAUUUAGUACUUAACCAUACAUAAUUAUCAAUGCAAGUUUUUUGUCCUAGGUGCAAGAUUAUAUUUAUUUGAGAGUAUCAGGUGAACAAGUUUACAUUUAAAGGCGAGAAUUGUGUUAAGCAUUUGGUAUUGACAUUAUAGUUUUAGUAAAACCAUCAAGUUAUCUCGAUAGAGUUUGAAACUAAGCUCUUUGGUGGACUGCUACUGUUUAUUAAGUAGGUAUCACAUUUCUAUAGCAAGACAUAGUUGAGUUUUGUAAAUCUACUUGUAUUUUGAAGGAUUGAAUUGUGAAAAUUAUUUGUCUUUUGGCAAUCUUUCUGAAUAGAGAGCGUGCAUGAGCAAGUUUGCAUUGCAAUUAAUAGGUGAAAAUUGCUGAGCACCUAAGUAACCAAAAAGGAGGUGAUGAAUUAGGUUACAGAAUUAGUUUUGUCCACCCUUUACCUGUCUACUCCAUUAUUUGAUUUUUGGCAGCAUUCAGCAUGCUUUUUCUGUAAAGGACCAGUAAAUAGUAAUUAUUUUAGGCUUUGUGGCCAGGAUGCAAAAUUGAAGAUAUUAUGUAGGUACUUAAUAUUAAAAGAAAGAAAAAAUUUACAGUUUUUUAAAAUUUCAGUCCAAAAUGUCAAUCUGUAAAUUUUUUGUUGAUAAAAAUACAACAAUAUAAGAUACAACAUUUUGUAAUACAGGCCUACUAAUGAGAAAUGAGAAUUUUAUUUUUGUGAGGGUAGGGGAGAUAACACUUAGCUGAAUUGGGGUUCAGAGUUAGUGUUUUCUAUAAUCAAAUCAAUUGCUAAUGUUUAUCUGUAAAAACCAUUCUUACCUUCCAGGCUGUACAAAAACAGGCGAUAGGCCAGAUUUGACCAUGGUCCAUACUUUCCCCACCCUUGAUUUAUUCUAUAAAACUAGUAGAAUUCGACUAACUGUUUUGUUUCAUCAAAGCUUUUUUUUUUUUUUUUUUUUGAGACAGAGUCUUGCUCUGUCGUCUAGGCUGGAGUGCCGUGGUGCAAUUUCGGCUCACUGCAAUCUUCGCCUCCCAAGUUCAAGCAAUUCUGCCUCAGCCUCCUGAGUAGCUGGGAUUACAGGCGUGUGGCACUACGCCCAGCUAAUUUUUGUAUUUUUAGUAGAGACAGGGUUUCACCAUGUUGGUCAGGCUGGUCUCAAACUCCUGACCUCAUGAUCCGCCUGCCUUGGCCUCCCAAAGUGCUGGGAUUACAGUCGUGAGCCACCGUCCCUGGCCAUCAAAGCAUUUUUAAUAUAGAAGGUCAGUUGAGUUGCUGCCUAGGAUGCAACCUGAUCUUAAUUUACAAAGUAAUUAAAUUAUUAUAAAAUAAGUUUGCAUUCAUAGAUUAAAAAGUACACAUUUAUUUUAUUAUUAUUAUAAUUUUUUGAGAUGGAGUUUCGCUCUUGUUGCCCAGGCUGGAGUGCAAUGGUGCAAUCUUGGCUCACUGCCACUUCCACCUCCUGGGUUCAAGUGAUUCUCCUGCCUCAGCCUCCCGAGUAACUGGGAUUAGAGGCAUGCGCCACCAUGCCUGGCUAAUUUUGUAUUUUUAGGAGAGAUGGAGUUUCUCCAUGUUGGUCAGGCUGGUCUCGAACUCCCGACCUCAGGUGAUCUGCCCACCUCAGAAUCCCAAAGUGCUAGGAUUACAGGUGUGAACCACCACGUCCUGCUAAAAAGUACACAUUUAAAAUCUAAGUUCCAUUUUCCCGUCAUGUUUAUUAAUUUGUCCCAUUGCAAGAUAUGUUUCUGUUGUCUGCAUGGGUAGAGAUAAUUUUAAAAGCUUGGUUAAGUAAAAACUGAUUUUCUUAAUUAUUGCCCUUUAGGUUAAAAAAAAAAAAA